UACGGGGGGGGCAAGCGUUGUUCGGAAUUACUGGGCGUAAAGGGCUCGUAGGUGGCCAACUAAGUCAGACGUGAAAUCCCUCGGCUUAACCGGGGAACUGCGUCUGAUACUGGAUGGCUUGAGUUCGGGAGAGGGAUGCGGAAUUCCAGGUGUAGCGGUGAAAUGCGUAGAUAUCUGGAGGAACACCAAUAGCGAAGGCAGCUCGCUGGGACGGUACUGACGCUAAGGCGCGAAAGCGUGGGGAGCGAACAGG
RNAcentral lists this ribosomal RNA (253 nucleotides) under uncultured bacterium. Its description in RNAcentral is "partial 16S ribosomal RNA". It matches the Rfam family "Bacterial small subunit ribosomal RNA", at positions 524 to 776 of the family's 1533-position model. The record is from RNAcentral.